GGGGCUGUAGCUCAGUAUAGAGCAUUUGUCUAGCAUGUAUAAUGCUUAGGUUCAAUCCCCAGUUCCA
This 67-nucleotide transfer RNA is filed under the name Cavia porcellus (domestic guinea pig). It matches the Rfam family "tRNA". From Rfam's summary of the family: Transfer RNA (tRNA) molecules are approximately 80 nucleotides in length. The record is from Rfam by way of RNAcentral. Lineage: Eukaryota; Metazoa; Chordata; Mammalia; Rodentia; Caviidae.